This 70-nucleotide transfer RNA is filed under the name Podarcis lilfordi (Lilford's wall lizard). It matches the Rfam family "tRNA". From Rfam's summary of the family: Transfer RNA (tRNA) molecules are approximately 80 nucleotides in length. Their secondary structure includes four short double-helical elements and three loops (D, anti-codon, and T loops). Further hydrogen bonds mediate the characteristic L-shaped molecular structure. tRNAs have two regions of fundamental functional importance: the anti-codon, which is responsible for specific mRNA codon recognition, and the 3' end, to which the tRNAs corresponding amino acid is attached (by aminoacyl-tRNA synthetases). tRNAs cope with the degeneracy of the genetic code in two manners: having more than one tRNA (with a specific anti-codon) for a particular amino acid; and 'wobble' base-pairing, i.e. permitting non-standard base-pairing at the 3rd anti-codon position. The record is from Rfam by way of RNAcentral. Lineage: Eukaryota; Metazoa; Chordata; Lepidosauria; Squamata; Lacertidae.
GGACAUGGGUCAGUGGUAGAGUAUCUGCCUUGCAUGCAGAAGGACCCAGGUUCAAUCCCUGGCAUAUCUA